This 407-nucleotide ribosomal RNA is filed under the name uncultured bacterium. RNAcentral's name for it is "partial 16S ribosomal RNA". It matches the Rfam family "Bacterial small subunit ribosomal RNA", at positions 30 to 526 of the family's 1533-position model. The record is from RNAcentral.
AUUGAACGCUGGCGGCAGGCCUAAAACAUGCAAGUCGAGCGGCACGGCGGACGGGAGAGUAAUACCUCGGACUCUGCCUGGUAGUGGGGGAUAACGUCCGGAAACGGGCGCUAAUACCACAUACUAUCAGAUGAGCCUAGGGCGGAUUAGCUAGUUGGUGGGGGAAAGGCCUACCAAGGCGACGAUACGUAACUGGUUUGGGAGGAUGAUCAGUGACACUGGUACUGAGACACGGCCCAGAAUCUUACGGGAGGCAGAAGUGGGGAAUAUUGGACAAUCGGCGAAAGCCUGUUGCAGCCACGCCGCGUGUGUGAAGAAGGUCUUCGGAUUGUAAAGCACUGUAAGUUGGGAGGCGUUACCUACAGAAUAAGCACCGGCUAACUACGUGCCAGCAGCCGCGGUAAUAC